CUCAGCGCGGGGCGAGGGCUGCAGCGGUUUCGGGAACGUCUUCACGGAGAUCCCCGAGAACAGCGCCCACGGCAGCCUGGUGGCCCGGCUGCCACCGGGGGGGGACGCGGGGGGGCCCGCGCUGCAGCUCUGCCUGGCCGGCGCCGACGCCGCCUGGUUCUACCUGGACGGCCGCAGCCUCCGCCUCAACGCCUCCGCCGGCAGGGCGCUGGACCGCGAGGUGCGGACCCCCUUGGAGACCCCCCCCGGCUGGUCCGGUGUCUGUCCGGUGUCCCCGUGUCCGUCCCGUGUCCCCUUGUCCCCAUGUCCAUCCCAUCCUCCAUCCGUCCUCCGUCCGUCCUCCAUCCAUUCCAUCGUCCUCAAAUCUGUCCUCCAGUCGUCUUCCACCCGUCCUCCAUCCAGCCUCCACCUGUCCUCCAGCCAGCCAGCCUCUAUCUGUCCUCCAUCCGUCCUCCACGCAGCCUCCAUCCAGCCUCCAUCCGUCCUGUGUCCAUCUGUCCAGCCUCCACCCUGCCUCCAUCCCGUUUCCAUCCUCCAUCCGUCCUCCAUCCAUUCCAUCGUCCUCCAAUCCAGCCUCCAUUUGUCCUGCUCUGUCCUCCAUUCAUCUUCCACCCAGCCUCCAUCCAGCCUCCAUCCUGUCUCCAGCCUCCAUCCAUCCUCCGUCCAUCCUCCAUCCAUAUCCAUCACCCAUCUAGCCUCUAUCUGUCCUCCAUCCGUCCUCCACCCAGCCUCCAUCCGUCUUCCAUCCUGUCUCCAUCCUCCCUCUGUCCUGUGUCCGUCCUCCAUCCAUUCCCUCGUCCUCCAAUCCGUCCUCCAGUCGUCUCCCACCCAGCCUCCAUCCUGUUUCCAGCCUCCAUCCAUCCUCCAUCCACCCUUUAUCCAGCCUUCAUCCAGCCUCUGUCCAUCCUCCACCCAGCCUCCAUCCAUCAUCCAUCCUUCGUUCAUCCUUCCUCCAUCCACCCUGUGCCCAUCCUGUGUCUCUCCCCCAUCCAGCCUCCACCCAGCCUCCAUCCAUCCUCCGCGCAGCCUCCAUCCAUCCUCCAUCCAUUCCAUCGUCCUCCAAUCCAGCCUCCAUUUGUCCUGCUCUGUCCUCCAUUCAUCUUCCACCCAGCCUCCAUCCAGCCUCCAUCCUGUCUCCAGCCUCCAUCUGUCUUCCAUCCAUCGCCCACCCAGCCUCUAUCUGUCCUCUAUCCGUCCUCCACCCAGCCUCCAUCCGUCUUCCAUCCUGUCUCCAUCCUCCCUCUGUCCUGUGUCCGUCCUCCAUCCAUUCCCUCGUCCUCCGAUCCGGCCUCCAUUCGUCUCCCACCCAGCCUCCAUCCGUCCUGUGUCCAUCCAUCCAGCCUCCAUCCAGCCUCCACCUGUCCUCCAUCCAGCCAGCCACUAUUUGUCCUCCAUCCAUCCUUCACACAGCCUCCACCCAGCCUCCAUCCUGUCUCCAGCCUCCAUCCGUCCUCCAUCUAUUGCCCAUCCAGCCUCUAUCUCUCCUCCAU
This 1490-nucleotide long non-coding RNA is filed under the name Anas platyrhynchos platyrhynchos (common mallard). RNAcentral describes it as "lncRNA (ENSAPLG00000024468.1)". The record is from RNAcentral. Lineage: Eukaryota; Metazoa; Chordata; Aves; Anseriformes; Anatidae.